AAUGCUCAAAGCCCUGAUAAGUCUGACUAAUGCAUUAAAGCAAAAUAAAAAUGCUUGCAAGACACUUGGCCUUCUUAGAAGGGUUCUGUGAAAAUUAUGAAAUUUCACAGAAAAUUGAAAAUUGAAAAUUCAUCUCCAGGUGUCUUUGAGCAAGCGCAAAAACACCUCUGAAAGCAGAGAGACUGUUUGCUGUUCUCUUAUCAUUUCUGCUCGAGGGGAGCAAGUCCUAUGCCUCUAGGACAGGAAAUACCCCAGACCCAGCCUGCGGUUUGGAAGCGUCUCGCUGCUGCUGCUCUGCCAGUUCUAGAACUCAACUCCUCAAGCACAAGCCCUUGGGAAGCAUGGAAUAGAAACAGUGAUGGCAUGAAACUGCGCUGCUCGGCAGAUGGAGUGAAUGCAAGAAGAAGUUAUUUCAGUCACAAGAAUUUUCAAUGAUUGUUGUCCUUUUUUUUGUGAAUGACAAAAACUACUUGUAUGCAUUAAACUAUUUCUCUGUGUCUUGGGCUGGAGAAUGCAGGUGACAGAGUGUUAAAGGGGAUAGCUGUGAGGGUCCCUGUUAAAUGGGGGGGAAAGGGGGUGAGAUGACCUCUGUGGGUCCCCUUUCAAUUGUAACAAUUCCAUAGUUCUGUGACAAGUCAGGCAAUGUUUAAGAAAACGGGGAUGCAUGCUUACUGUUUAGCAUAACAGCAAUAAUGAUGAUGUAAGUUGAAUGAAUUUAUUUUUAACAUAUGGGGAAUACUUUUAGUAGUAAGAAUGUUAUAUUCUACUGUUGAACUCUAGCUGCUGUGAUGUUUGCUGUGUAAAAUCCAGGUUACAAAAGGAAAUAAAUACUGCAUUUCUGUUGAGAAAAUUUCUUGUGUUUAAUGGACUUGUCCUAAAAUGCAGACUUAUUAUGUUUUCUCCUGUUUCCAUGAUCAUUAAAAGUUCUAAUAUUAUGCUUAUGCCAUAUUAAACUUUAUACAACUGUG
Tympanuchus pallidicinctus (lesser prairie-chicken) is the source of this 968-nucleotide long non-coding RNA. RefSeq lists it as uncharacterized. NCBI's taxonomy places the organism in Eukaryota, Metazoa, Chordata, Aves, Galliformes, Phasianidae. The transcript has 3 exons. The record is from RefSeq and is a predicted model, not a curated record.